GCCCUCUCUGUACUCCUUCAUCUGCAGCAGUGUGGCGUUGUCCGGUACAGCGUCGUCACUGUUCCUUAAGGCAGGCUUACAGGCCGAACACAAAGAGCCGCCUAGUACACCCUUGAUGACGUAUCCGGCCAGAUGGUAUAGCACACAGGACUCCGCUUUUGUGGAAAUGAUUCUGCUCCUACUGCAUGAGACUGCUGCUGUUGAUGGGGAAGUGCUUUUGCCAGAAAUGGCUUAGUUGCAGGUGGUGGCUUUCUUGAGUUGCACUGAUAAGGUUGAUGCUUUCAAUGCAUUGGAAGUUCCAGCAUGUUCCAGUGAAUUCCAAUUCUUCAUGCAUUAUUGAUUUCACACACACACACACACACACACACACACACA
Long non-coding RNA from Engraulis encrasicolus (European anchovy), 375 nucleotides. RefSeq lists it as uncharacterized. NCBI's taxonomy places the organism in Eukaryota, Metazoa, Chordata, Actinopteri, Clupeiformes, Engraulidae. The record is from RefSeq and is a predicted model, not a curated record. The transcript has 3 exons.